This 316-nucleotide ribosomal RNA is filed under the name uncultured bacterium. RNAcentral describes it as "bacterial SSU rRNA". It matches the Rfam family "Bacterial small subunit ribosomal RNA", at positions 167 to 507 of the family's 1533-position model. The record is from RNAcentral.
UACCGCAUAAGUACCCACGGGUCAAAGGAGCAAUUCGCUUGAGGAGGAGGUCGCGGCCGAUUAGUUAGUUAGCGGGGUAAGUGGCCCACCAAGACACGUGAUCGGUAUCCGGCCUGAGAGGGCGCACGGGACACACUGGAACUGAAACACGGUCCAGACUCCUACGGGAGGCAGCAGUGGGGAAUUUUGCGCAAUGGGGGAAACCCUGACGCAGCAACGCCGCGUGGAGGUAUGAAGUACUCUUGGGACGUAAACUCCUUUCGAUCGGGACGUAUUAUGACGGUACCGGAAGAAGAAAGCCCCGGCUAACUUCGUG